GAUGAACGCUAGCUACAGGCUUAACACAUGCAAGUCGAGGGGAAACGACAGAGGAAGCUUGCUUCCUUUGGGCGUCGACCGGCGCACGGGUGAGUAACGCGUAUCCAACCUUCCCGCAAGUAAGGGAUAACCCGUAGAAAUGCGGCCUAAUACCCUUAUGUUUUUCCUUAGAGGGCAUCUGAUGAGGAACAAAGAUCCGUCGCUUGCGGAUGGGGAUGCGUCUGAUUAGUUAGUCGGCGGGGUAACGGCCCACCGAGACGACGAUCAGUAGGGGUUCUGAGAGGAAAGUCCCCCANAUUGGAACUGAGACACGGUCCAAAACUCCUACGGGAGGCAGCAGUGAGGAAUAUUGG
This 353-nucleotide ribosomal RNA is filed under the name uncultured bacterium. RNAcentral describes it as "bacterial SSU rRNA". It matches the Rfam family "Bacterial small subunit ribosomal RNA", at positions 28 to 367 of the family's 1533-position model. The record is from RNAcentral.